Molecule: long non-coding RNA, 904 nt
Organism: Aphis gossypii (cotton aphid)
Lineage: Eukaryota; Metazoa; Arthropoda; Insecta; Hemiptera; Aphididae
Exons: 3
Source: RefSeq, a predicted model, not a curated record
ACAAAAAAAAGUAUUAUUUUGACUAUUAUUAUUGUACUAAUUAGUACCUGAAUACAUCCCUUAUUCAAAUCAGAAUUCAAAAGUCUAAAUUUGAAUCUGGAUAAUAUCUGGCCUGAUCUCGGAAAUAAGAAUAUUUUAUCAUAAAAUAGGUACCUAGGUACCCAAAGAGAUCAAUAAAAAUGGUAUCAAUAAAAUUAAAAAUGUUAACACAUUUUUGAUUUUCUGCUGUUAUAGAAAUAAAAUAUGUUUAAGAUCGAUAACACCUAAUAUGUAUAAAUAUAUAUUGAAAGAAACUCGAUAAUUGAAAAACAAUUUCUAUUCUCAGGAGCUGGACUAGUCGUCAUUGCAGAUAAUAUUAUGAUGUAAAAGUUAAACACGCUGUGAGAUUUCCUUAAUAUGAAGUACCUAUGUGCCAUUCUAUUGAUUUCAGAUUGCAGCCACAAUUAAUGUUCUAGUUUUCGGGGAGUCGAUGAUCUAUGCCUGUUGAUAGGUAAACAAGCUACCUACUACCAGUGUCCAGUGGCACCGAACUUAUAAGGGUUUUGUCUUUUGUGAAGUAUAUAAAUAAGAUGACUAUAUAGAUCUAUUGCUCUAUACGCUCGCUGUUUCGGCGACAUUGGAUUAUAAUAAAGGUACGAAUAUACCUACGGCAUACGGACAUACGGUAAAGGGUAGGUAGGUAACUUUAUUUAUGUAUAAUAUAAUAUUUGGAAUAUUGUCGGUAUAACAUACACGUCGAUGGACUUACCCAUGCGAAACGAGCGUCACACACGCGCGCGGCGGCGGAGUUUCGGUUCGGUGUUUCGAAGUUCAUAUAUGAGCUCCUGCUGCUACACAGAAGUUUUCUGUGUAAGAUCCAAGUCGUCCGAAAAGUGGGCCGCCGCUACCACCGCCGUUGAUUGGU